RNAcentral lists this ribosomal RNA (429 nucleotides) under bacterium. RNAcentral describes it as "partial 16S ribosomal RNA". It matches the Rfam family "Bacterial small subunit ribosomal RNA", at positions 355 to 776 of the family's 1533-position model. The record is from RNAcentral.
UAGGGAAUCUUCGGCAAUGGGGGCAACCCUGACCGAGCAACGCCGCGUGAGUGAAGAAGGUUUUCGGAUCGUAAAGCUCUGUUGUAAGAGAAGAACGUGUGUGAGAGUGGAAAGUUCACACAGUGACGGUAACUUACCAGAAAGGGACGGCUAACUACGUGCCAGCAGCCGCGGUAAUACGUAGGUCCCGAGCGUUGUCCGGAUUUAUUGGGCGUAAAGCGAGCGCAGGCGGUUUAAUAAGUCUGAAGGUAAAGGCAGUGGCUUAACCAUUGUUCGCUUUGGAAACUGUUAAACUUGAGUGCAGAAGGGGAGAGUGGAAUUCCAUGUGUAGCGGUGAAAUGCGUAGAUAUAUGGAGGAACACCGGUGGCGAAAGCGGCUCUCUGGUCUGUAACUGACGCUGAGGCUCGAAAGCGUGGGGAGCAAACAGG